GCCUGGGUGGCUCAGUCGGUUGAGUGUCCGACUUCAGCUCAGGUCAUGAUCCUCUGGUCUGUGAGUUCGAUCCCUGCCUCGGGCU
This 85-nucleotide transfer RNA is filed under the name Felis catus (domestic cat). It matches the Rfam family "tRNA". From Rfam's summary of the family: Transfer RNA (tRNA) molecules are approximately 80 nucleotides in length. Their secondary structure includes four short double-helical elements and three loops (D, anti-codon, and T loops). Lineage: Eukaryota; Metazoa; Chordata; Mammalia; Carnivora; Felidae. The record is from Rfam by way of RNAcentral.